This 497-nucleotide ribosomal RNA is filed under the name uncultured bacterium. Its description in RNAcentral is "partial 16S ribosomal RNA". It matches the Rfam family "Bacterial small subunit ribosomal RNA", at positions 28 to 507 of the family's 1533-position model. The record is from RNAcentral.
GACGAACGCUGGCGGCGUGCCUAAUACAUGCCAGUAGAACGCUGAAGAGAGGAGCUUGCUCUUCUUGGAUGAGUUGCGAACGGGUGAGUAACGCGUAGGUAACCUGCCUUGUAGCGGGGGAUAACUAUUGGAAACGAUAGCUAAUACCGCAUAACAAUGGAUGACGCAUGUCAUUUAUUUGAAAGGGGCAAUUGCUCCACUACAAGAUGGACCUGCGUUGUAUUAGCUAGUAGGUGAGGUAAUGGCUCACCUAGGCGACGAUACAUAGCCGACCUGAGAGGGUGAUCGGCCACACUGGGACUGAGACACGGCCCAGACUCCUACGGGAGGCAGCAGUAGGGAAUCUUCGGCAAUGGGGGCAACCCUGACCGAGCAACGCCGCGUGAGUGAAGAAGGUUUUCGGAUCGUAAAGCUCUGUUGUAAGUCAAGAACGGGUGUGAGAGUGGAAAGUUCACACUGUGACGGUAGCUUACCAGAAAGGGACGGCUAACUACGUG